GAGGUCAGAAUAAAGAAGCCUUGAGGGUUUAAAUCGCUUCUUGAAAAGAAAUGCCCGUGUGUCAAGGAGCUAAGGGAGACCAGCCCAGGAGGAGCUGAAUCCUGCCAACAAUCACUUGAGUGAACUUGAGAGUGAAUCCUCUCCAUGUUAAGCCUUGAGUGAAAGCGGAAUACCUGGUUAUCCGGAGGUCACUGUCUCCACACAGAGUGGUGUCCUUGAUGCUAGCUUGGGGCAAAGAAGCCAGGCCAGCUUGUGGUUGCAAUAGGAAUAGAAGAGACUUCCUUACUCCAAUCCCACCCUACCCCCUCAUCCUGCCUCAACCAGUCAUGCAGAGAGAUGCUGAAUGGCUGCCUGCUCUCAGGGGAAUGAUUUGUGGAGGUUUAAUUAAAAUAAUUUAAUCAAUC
This 404-nucleotide long non-coding RNA is filed under the name Homo sapiens (human). RNAcentral's name for it is "PREDICTED lncRNA (TCONS_00126784)". Lineage: Eukaryota; Metazoa; Chordata; Mammalia; Primates; Hominidae. The record is from RNAcentral.